Antechinus flavipes (yellow-footed antechinus) is the source of this 262-nucleotide long non-coding RNA. RefSeq lists it as uncharacterized. NCBI's taxonomy places the organism in Eukaryota, Metazoa, Chordata, Mammalia, Dasyuromorphia, Dasyuridae. The transcript is spliced from 3 exons. The record is from RefSeq and is a predicted model, not a curated record.
AGAUCAUCCCUGAUUUCUAUACAUCUGAGGCACAAACAAGAUUCAGCAAACACUAAGAUAAAAAUCAUCUCUGAUUUCUAUACAUCUGAGGCACAAACAAGAUUCAGGAAACACUAAGAUAAAAAUCAUUCCUGAUUUCUACAUAUUUGAGGCACAAUCAAGAUUCAGGAAACAUUAAGAUAAAAGAAGCAAGUAAAACAUUUGACAGUCCCAGUUACAGGAUAAGGAAAGGAUGGAAAAAUAGCAGGGAAAAACCAAGAAU